GGCCUCGCUUCUCUUCCACUCUACCAACAGCCACGCUGCCACGUCUAGCCCGCGACCAUGGCGUGGCCGUUGGUAGAGUAGGAGACGAGCAUGGC
This 95-nucleotide microRNA precursor is filed under the name Triticum aestivum (bread wheat). RNAcentral describes it as "MIR9677 microRNA precursor family". It matches the Rfam family "MIR9677 microRNA precursor family". Lineage: Eukaryota; Viridiplantae; Streptophyta; Magnoliopsida; Poales; Poaceae. RNAcentral also lists the same sequence under 1 other name. The record is from Rfam by way of RNAcentral.